AAAGUUGGUUUCGGAUCAAAAGAUAUGCAGGAGAGGUACCAUAUGUUUUGUGAUAAUUGAGAUAGUGGGGUAGCGGGGACUCAUCCUUGCUUUCCCUUUUUUGUGGGACACUUUGCCCUUCACACUUCACACGUAUGAAUGCCAUUAUAAAUAAGGGUAGCGGGGAAGAAAGUUUAUCACACCCUACUCCAAUCUCCCAUCACCAUGAGGGCUUUCCUUGUAUGCUUUCUCUUCAUUUCAGCCCUUCUCUUUGCCUCUUGCGUUAGUGCUCGAGAGUUGGUUCAAAAUGAAAUGAUGACUACUGAUCAUAAGGUGGGCAUUACAGCAGGCUCCAACUGUGGACCUGGAAAAGCUUACAGAAACUGCAUUCCCAAUCCAAAACCAACUCCGUGUUCCAAGUAUUAUCGAAGAUGUAGCCCACCAAGCCCUUGAAAAUGAAAAUAUAAACUGGUACUAUAUAUAUAGGAUGAAGGAGUGGCUGUGGCUUGGGGUAGAAGAAUAAUAUAGCUUGGGCGCAUGUGACAUAUGUAUGGGUUGAUUUGGACUUUGUGGUUUCUAAGUGUUGGAUUAUAUAUAUAUAUAGUCCAGAAGUACCAUGUAUUACGAGUUUGCUUGAUUAAUAAUAGAGCUGACUUAGGUCAGUCUCCAUAAGAAAGCAUGUUGUGUUUCUUCU
Long non-coding RNA from Vitis riparia (riverbank grape), 673 nucleotides. RefSeq lists it as uncharacterized. The record is from RefSeq and is a predicted model, not a curated record. NCBI's taxonomy places the organism in Eukaryota, Viridiplantae, Streptophyta, Magnoliopsida, Vitales, Vitaceae. The transcript has 2 exons.